UACGAAGGGGGCUAGCGUUGCUCGGAAUUACUGGGCGUAAAGCGCACGUAGGCGGAUUGUUAAGUCGGGGGUGAAAUCCUGGAGCUCAACUCCGGAACUGCCUUUGAUACAGCACGUCUUGAGUCCGAUAGAGGUGGGUGGAAUUCCUAGUGUAGAGGUGAAAUUCGUAGAUAUUAGGAAGAACACCGGUGGCGAAGGCGGCCCACUGGAUCGGUACUGACGCUGAGACGCGAAAGCGUGGGGAGCGAACAGG
RNAcentral lists this ribosomal RNA (253 nucleotides) under uncultured bacterium. RNAcentral's name for it is "partial 16S ribosomal RNA". It matches the Rfam family "Bacterial small subunit ribosomal RNA", at positions 524 to 776 of the family's 1533-position model. The record is from RNAcentral.